This 368-nucleotide unclassified non-coding RNA is filed under the name Hevea brasiliensis (rubber tree). The record is from RNAcentral. Lineage: Eukaryota; Viridiplantae; Streptophyta; Magnoliopsida; Malpighiales; Euphorbiaceae.
AGGCUUAGUUGAGUUGAGUAUCAAGAUUUGUGCAACCAAAGAGAAUAUGACACAACACCAAACGCAAGAAGGCAGCGUCUGAGUUUGGACCUUCCACUCUGAAAAAUCCCUCUUAGAUCUUAGAUUACGGAUGUUUGUCAGCUUUGAUUGUUCAUCAUCUUCUUUCUUUACAAGACAAGACAGUGAUGACAAUCCUAGCUUGAUAUGGAUGUUCCUCAACAGUCCAACAAAUUCUGUGCCUCAGAUUUGUGAAACCAUUUUAGUUUCUUAGGUCAACUCAAGUUUUUACCAAAUUCUCACAAAUGACUAUAAGCAAAAGGAAUCUAUCAUUUUUUUCAAAGAACCUCGUCCGAAAGCAACAUGCUGGG